This 208-nucleotide ribosomal RNA is filed under the name uncultured bacterium. RNAcentral's name for it is "partial 16S ribosomal RNA". It matches the Rfam family "Bacterial small subunit ribosomal RNA", at positions 568 to 774 of the family's 1533-position model. The record is from RNAcentral.
CGCGUAGGCGGCUUGGUCAGUCCCGUGUGAAAUCCCUCGGCUCAACUGAGGAACUGCACGGGAAACUGCCUGGCUUGAGUUCGGGAGAGGGAAGCGGAAUUCCGGGUGUAGCGGUGAAAUGCGUAGAUAUCCGGAGGAACACCGGUGGCGAAGGCGGCUUCCUGGACCGACACUGACGCUGAGGCGCGAAAGCUAGGGGAAGCAAACG